RNAcentral lists this ribosomal RNA (447 nucleotides) under Triticum aestivum (bread wheat). Its description in RNAcentral is "partial small subunit ribosomal RNA". The record is from RNAcentral. Lineage: Eukaryota; Viridiplantae; Streptophyta; Magnoliopsida; Poales; Poaceae.
AUGACACUGAAGACUAAAUAUCCUCUGCCCGUGAUAGAUGAAUUGCUCGAUGAAUUAUCAGGCGCCUCAUGGUUUUCCAAAUUGGACCUUCGUGCUGGGUAUGAUCAGAUCCGUUUGGCUCCCGGGGAAGAAUACAAGACAACCUUUCAUACACACAAUGGUCACUAUGAGUUUAAUGUGGUAUCGUUUGGGCUGACGGGAGGGCCAUCUACAUUCCAAGGAGAGAUGAAUGUUACUCUAGCGCCCGUGGAUCAUGACUGUGCAGUCGUAUUCUUUGAUGAUAUACUGGUGUUCAGUGCUACCUUAGAGGAACAUGUGCAACACCUCAAGCAAGGUUUGCAACUACUUAGGCAGCAUCAGUGGAGAGUUAAAGAGUCAAAGUGUGCAUUCGCCCAGCGUAGCAUAUCCUAUCUGGGUUUGUGGUCAGUGGGAACAGAGUGUCAAUAG